Molecule: ribosomal RNA, 661 nt
Filed under: uncultured bacterium
Lineage: Bacteria
Description: bacterial SSU rRNA
Rfam family: Bacterial small subunit ribosomal RNA
Source: RNAcentral
ACGCUGGCGGCUGCCUUACACAUGCAAGUCGAACGGCAGCACGGGGGCAACCCUGGUGGCGAGUGGCGAACGGGUGAGUAAUACAUCGGAACGUGUCCUGGAGUGGGGGAUAGCCCGGCGAAAGCCGGAUUAAUACCGCAUACGCUCUGUGGAGGAAAGCGGGGGAUCUUCGGACCUCGCGCUCAAGGGGCGGCCGAUGGCAGAUUAGGUAGUUGGUGGGGUAAAGGCCUACCAAGCCGACGAUCUGUAGCUGGUCUGAGAGGACGACCAGCCACACUGGGACUGAGACACGGCCCAGACUCCUACGGGAGGCAGCAGUGGGGAAUUUUGGACAAUGGGCGCAAGCCUGAUCCAGCAAUGCCGCGUGUGUGAAGAAGGCCUUCGGGUUGUAAAGCACUUUUGUCCGGAAAGAAAACCUCUGGGUUAAUACCCCGGUGGGAUGACGGUACCGGAAGAAUAAGCACCGGCUAACUACGUGCCAGCAGCCGCGGUAAUACGUAGGGUGCGAGCGUUAAUCGGAAUUACUGGGCGUAAAGCGUGCGCAGGCGGUGAUGUAAGACCGAUGUGAAAUCCCCGGGCUUAACCUGGGAACUGCAUUGGUGACUGCAUCGCUCGAGUAUGGCAGAGGGGGGUAGAAUUCCACGUGUAGCAGUGAAAUGCG